This 224-nucleotide ribosomal RNA is filed under the name uncultured bacterium. RNAcentral's name for it is "partial 16S ribosomal RNA". It matches the Rfam family "Bacterial small subunit ribosomal RNA", at positions 15 to 236 of the family's 1533-position model. The record is from RNAcentral.
GACCCUGGCUCAGGACGAACGCUGGCGGCACGCUUAACACAUGCAAGUCGAACGAGAGAAGAGAAGCUUGCUUUUCUGAUCUAGUGGCGGACGGGUGAGUAACACGUGAGCAAUCUGCCUUUCAGAGGGGGAUACCGAUUGGAAACGAUCGUUAAUACCGCAUAAUAUAAUUGAACCGCAUGAUUUGAUUAUCAAAGAUUUAUCGCUGAAAGAUGAGCUCGCGU